Long non-coding RNA from Thalassophryne amazonica, 184 nucleotides. RefSeq lists it as uncharacterized. Lineage: Eukaryota; Metazoa; Chordata; Actinopteri; Batrachoidiformes; Batrachoididae. The transcript is spliced from 3 exons. The record is from RefSeq and is a predicted model, not a curated record.
AAAGUCAGUUUUAAGCAGAAACUCUGUGAAAUUCCAUGAGGCUUUGAAAUGUCUGAUGCACAGUCAAUGCAUCAGCUAGCAGCUCGUUUAGCCGCGGUGCUCUGAUUGCUUCCACCGCCUUUUAUGAUGAAAUAAUGCUGAAUUUAUAUGGAAAUGAUUGUUGUACAAAAGCGUCAGUUAUCUG